GUUUUUAAGAUUUCAUUUGAACUCUGAUACAGGUUGCCGAGCUGGUAGCCACUGAGUUCUUCGAGCAGGGGGAUAAGGAGAGGCGGGAGCUGAACGUUGAACCCAUCGACCUGAUGAAUCGGGAGAAAAGAGAUAAGAUUCCCAGCAUGCAGGUGUCCUUCAUUGAUGCCAUCUGCACUCAGUUAUAUGAGACCUUGUCUGGCAUGUCGGAGUACUGCUCCCCGUUGUUGGAAGGAUGUCAGAAGAACAGGCAGCGUUGGAAGUGUUUGGCCGAGGAGUGUGAGAAGGGGCUGGGUAACGGCUUCAUGUGAUCCUAACACGAGUUUGACUUCAAACCAACAAAAUAAUGUCCAUUGUUUUCCAUGUCCAACCUGGUCUCACAACAUUUCAUGACAUUUGCAUGAUAUCUAAACGGACAAAUAUGAGUCUUUGUGUGAAAAAAGGUUCAGUUGCCAACUUUUACCAAGAGUUUUUCUAAAUUAAGAAUAAUUCCAGUUACAUACAACUUUGAUCUUCCUUUCAUAGGUUUGCCCACCCUUCCUAUUUGUGAUGAUAAGGUUGUACUCACUAAACCUUACAAUAAGACUAAGAGCCAGGAACAGCCAAGCUUUGAGUUGAAUGCUAACACAAGCAUGCUAGCAGAAGCACAAUGCUUUCAUGCUGACGUUUAGUGCAUAGUGUUGCUGUAAUGUUUAAUGUUUCCUUAUUAACAGCUAAUAAACAGCUGAUUAGCACUAAAGCUAAUUACGAUGGGAAAGUCAUUCGUUUCCGAGCCUCUAGUCAUUAGCUAAAGUAUUGCUUCAGGAAGCGGAUCACCAAACUCAUUAGAAUUAGUGCUCUUUGAACAAUAAAUGUCUGUAGAUACUGAGAUACUAAGUACUAAGGUUUUAAGGUUUUAAUGGUUUUGCAUAAUUUAAUAAAACACAAACAUCCUAGAAAACAACAGACCAACAGUGCAGGAAGAGGCAAAAAAAAAAGUGGGCUUAUUUAAAGCCUCUACCUAAAUAA
Molecule: long non-coding RNA, 1008 nt
Organism: Notothenia coriiceps (black rockcod)
Lineage: Eukaryota; Metazoa; Chordata; Actinopteri; Perciformes; Nototheniidae
Exons: 3
Source: RefSeq, a predicted model, not a curated record